RNAcentral lists this long non-coding RNA (231 nucleotides) under Sorghum bicolor (sorghum). Its description in RNAcentral is "long non-coding RNA (SBIC_LNC016164)". The record is from RNAcentral. Lineage: Eukaryota; Viridiplantae; Streptophyta; Magnoliopsida; Poales; Poaceae.
CCUAAGAACCUAUGACAUAAAAGUAGAAGUCAUAAACGCUUGUGACAUCCGAAACCAAUGUCAUAAUAUUAUGACAUGAACACUUAAACGUCACAAGUUGUUAUUAAAGACGCGCAUCUUUUGACAUUUCAGUUUUCGUCAACUUUGUGUCAUAAAUGGUGAUCUGUGACUUAUUUCGCAUGAAUUAUGACAUAUAUCAAAUGUCAAAAGAGGACAUAUUUCUUGUAGUGA